GAUGAACGCUGGCGGCGUGCUUAAUACAUGCAAGUCGAGCGAACAGACCAGGCUCUUGCUCCUCUGACGUUUGCGGCGGACGGGUGAGUAACACGUGUAUACCCUCCCUAUAAGACUGGGAUCACUUCGGGAAUCCGGAGCUAAUCCCGGAUAAUAUAUUGAACCGCAUGGUUCAAUGGUGAAAGACGGUUGUGCUGUCACUUAUAGAUGGAUCCGCGCCGCAUUGGCUGGUUGGUGCGGUAACGGCUUACCAAGGCAACGAUGCGUAGCCGAACUGAGAGAGUGAUAGGCCACAUUGGAACUGAGACAGGGACAAGACGCCUACGGGAGGCAGCAGUAGGGAAUCGGCCGCAAUGGGCGAAAGCCUGACGGAGCAACGCCGAGUGAGUGAUGAAGGUCUUCGGAUCGUAAAACUCUGUUAUUAGGGAAGAACAAAUGUGUAAGUAACUAUGCACGUAUUGACGGUACCGAAUCAGAAAGCCACGGCUAACUACGUG
Molecule: ribosomal RNA, 497 nt
Filed under: uncultured bacterium
Lineage: Bacteria
Description: partial 16S ribosomal RNA
Rfam family: Bacterial small subunit ribosomal RNA
Source: RNAcentral